This 777-nucleotide ribosomal RNA is filed under the name Triticum aestivum (bread wheat). RNAcentral describes it as "partial small subunit ribosomal RNA". Lineage: Eukaryota; Viridiplantae; Streptophyta; Magnoliopsida; Poales; Poaceae. The record is from RNAcentral.
AUGUUGCAGUGCAAGAUUGCCACGACUCCUAUGUCUGCCACAGAUAAGCUGACAGCUCUUGAUGGUGACUUGCUCUCUCCUGAGGAUGCUACGGAGUAUCGCGGUAUUGUUGGUGGACUGCAGUACUUGCUCGUUACUCGAGCAGACAUCUCUUUUGCGGUCAACCGUGUGUGCCAGUACCUUCAUGCGCCUCGUGGACCUCACUGGUCCGCUGUUAAACGCAUCCUGCGCUAUGUUCGUCACACCGGUUCAUAUGGUCUCUAUCUUCGGCCUGCAUCUUCUGGACUGAUCUCAGCCUUUUCUGAUGCCGAUUGGGCUGGUUGUCCUGAUGAUCGGCGAUCCACGGGGGAGUAUGUUCAUUAUAAAAUGCUUGCCCAACACAUAUGUUCUUCUCCUCAGAACACCAAGACUGCUAUCAAAAUCAUCUCAUAUGGACACAACAGCUGGGUCAAGACGAGCGCAAACCUUAUGCUACUCCUGACCAUCACCUUCCUUUUGCUACCGUCAGAUACUUCAGCAGCAGGGUGGAAUGGUUGCAAGUCAUUUGUCAUUGGUCCGAUAGAGGAAGCAUGUACCCGCAAGGAAUGCACCUUCGCAUGCCAAGAUGGGUUCACUAAGUUGGGUCACUGCAAAGACGGUGUUGUUAAGUGUGGUUGGAAAUCCAACUGUGUUCUGCUGGAUGUAACUGCACUCUAUGCGGAGAUUUCAACCGUCCAUCCAUAUAACUUGGGAACAAAUAACAAGUACCUAGGGAACAAUUCCAUGUUUACUACGUAG